RNAcentral lists this long non-coding RNA (952 nucleotides) under Haliotis rufescens (red abalone). Its description in RNAcentral is "uncharacterized LOC124111618, transcript variant X14". Lineage: Eukaryota; Metazoa; Mollusca; Gastropoda; Lepetellida; Haliotidae. The record is from RNAcentral.
AGUUUAGGCUAGUUAAUUGUGUCUUUUCUCUAAAUAGAGCACAACAAACGUGGGUGUUUUCAUACCAAUAAAUACUCUUCAAUAUUCCUACCAUUGCCACAAAUGGGAACGUAAUGUCGUGCGUGUUUUCUACAGGUAGCCUUGCAUUCUUUGCGUCCCUAGAAACAACGUCGACGUGCACAAGCAAGGUCACGCAUCAUAAAUGCCGUUUAUUCUAAAACAAAGAGUGCUUUACCGAAACACAGUAUGCAUCGGAGGCAGAAAAUUUAUUCAAGCUCUGAAGUCCCAAACAACUGAAAAUGCUCCAAAACACCAUCACGUGACCCUGGUAUUCUCAAAGUGCUGGUGAAAGUGUUUGUUUUGUAGGCCUAAAUGUUUGUUGAUAGUAGAGAGGCGGACUGAUAGACUUUAUAACAAGUCAUGAUCAACAUUCCCCAACUGUUAGUUAAUUACACUGUAGCAGGCACUACAUCUGCCUAUGAGCAAUGGACAGAACUGAGAAUACCUUAUCAUGAACCGUAGUGAACACUGCUGGAAACAUCCUGUUUUAGGAUCGUUUUCUUCACAUACAAGCCCCACCAGUGCAGUUGGCACACAACAGCAUCCCUCCUGAUCAAGUGAAAAGGAAUCCUAUGACACCGCUUGAUCUUUGUCUGACAUGGAAAUCUGCAAAUCAAAUAAGGUGGAAGAAUAACAUCUGGUUAAAAAAUUUAUGUGGAAAAAUAUCUGCUUUAAAGUGAUGUCAUGAACUGGACGCUGCACUCUUGAUUCCAACACUAAUAUUGUCAUGACCAAAUGUUAAAGUUCAUAUUCAGCAAGUUGAAGAUAACUGACACCAUCUUUAAGUAUAAGUUGCACAAAUAUGGUAUUCAGAAGUUUUUUGUUUACACUACUGAUGUAUAUAUAGUAUAAAAAAAUGGAUUUCUGUAAUAGAAUAAAGUAUUGGAAUACA